GUCAAGGUCAACUGUAUCCCACCCACAUGCUGGGGGUUUUCUCCACUAUCUAUCUGGAGAUGAUGCACAAAUUGGGGGAGUGGUAAAUAAUGAAGAGGACAGGUCACUGUUACAGAGCAGUCUGGAUCAGUAGAUACUUGAGGCACUACAGUCGUAUAAAGGCCCCAGGGAGGAUUGGAGACCCAGUGUGUUGGGCAUGGCACAUAAAUAAAAGCCUGCCAUGGGAGACGUAAAAUCUAAGGCCAUUCAGAAAAGGAAUAUGCUGCUGGAACAGCCCUGCCUACCAAUAAUGAUGAUAAAGGAUCUGAAGGUAAAGUUGGCAUUAAGAUGUGAGUUGGUAAAACAUUUCACUAAAAAUAUCUCAUCUUUAAA
Long non-coding RNA from Mauremys mutica (yellowpond turtle), 372 nucleotides. RefSeq lists it as uncharacterized. NCBI's taxonomy places the organism in Eukaryota, Metazoa, Chordata, Testudines, Geoemydidae. The record is from RefSeq and is a predicted model, not a curated record. The transcript is spliced from 4 exons.